This 667-nucleotide small RNA is filed under the name Boronia sp. Lowry 6481. RNAcentral describes it as "eukaryotic LSU rRNA". The stretch from base 253 to 408 matches the Rfam family "5.8S ribosomal RNA". Lineage: Eukaryota; Viridiplantae; Streptophyta; Magnoliopsida; Sapindales; Rutaceae. The record is from RNAcentral.
ACCUGCGGAGGAUCAUUGUCGAAACCUGCCCAGCAGAACGACCAGCGAACUCUUGAAAACACCGGUGGGUGCGCGCCUCGCGUGCGCUCCCAUCCCUUCUGCCUCAGGGGCGGGCACCUUGCCUGUGCCUGUUGCGCAGACAACAAACCCCCGGCGCAGGAUGCGCCAAGGAAAACCAACGAGAGAGCACGGUCCCAUGCCCCGGAGACGGUGCGCUUGGGACGCGGUGCCUUCUUUCACAAUAUCUAUAACGACUCUCGGCAACGGAUAUCUCGGCUCUCGCAUCGAUGAAGAACGCAGCGAAAUGCGAUACUUGGUGUGAAUUGCAGAAUCCCGUGWACCAUCGAGUCUUUGAACGCAAGUUGCGCCCCAWGCUGUUAGGCUGAGGGCACGUCUGCCUGGGUGUCACGCAUCGUUGCCCCACCCCACCCCCUCGGGGGCAGGUGGUGUYGGCGGAGAUUGGCCUCCCGUGUGCURCCCRUCGCGGUUGGCCCAAAUUUGAGUCCUCGGCGACYGAAGCCGUGACGAUCGGUGGUGCAAGCAUGCCUCUCGAGCUCAUGUCACGUGCCUACGUCUUCGACAAGGCUCUCAAGGACCCUGACGCUCUGCGCAAGCGGAGCUCRCAUCGCGACCCCAGGUCAGGCGGGAUUACCCGCUGAGUUUAAGC